AUGUGAGGGUGAUCUGGCUUUGACAUCUGUCACCUCAUUGAUCGCCAAGUUGAUUCAGCUGAUCUGGCUGGCUAGGCAGGUGUCCCCUUCCUCCCUCACUGAU
Molecule: small nuclear RNA, 103 nt
Filed under: Colius striatus (speckled mousebird)
Lineage: Eukaryota; Metazoa; Chordata; Aves; Coliiformes; Coliidae
Description: 7SK RNA
Rfam family: 7SK RNA
About the family: 7SK was discovered as an abundant small nuclear RNA in the mid-70s but a possible function has only recently been suggested.
Source: Rfam by way of RNAcentral